GAGAGAGAGAGAGAGAGAAGACUUACAGCUCCUGGAUCUUAGCCCUUUUUCCACAAAGAAGAAGAAGAAGUAGAAGAAGACUUACAGCUCCUGGAUCUUAGCCCUUUUUCCACAACUUCCUCCUAAACGCUCAUAGAGAGAGAGAGAGAGAGAGAGAGAGAGAGAGAGAGAGAGAGAGAGAGAGAGAGAGAGAGAGAGAGAGAGAUAAAAAAACAACGAAGUAGAAGAAGACUCACAAGAAGAAGAAGAAGAAGAAGAAGAAGAAGAAGAAGACUUACAGCUCCUGGAUCUUAGCCCUUUUUCCACAAAGAAGAAGAAGAAGUAGAAGAAGACUUACAGCUCCUGGAUCUUAGCCCUUUUUCCACAACUUCCUCCUAAACGCUCAUAGAGAGAGAGAGAGAGAGAGAGAGAGAGAGAGAGAUAAAAAAACAACGAAGUAGAAGAAGACUCAC
This 452-nucleotide long non-coding RNA is filed under the name Eucalyptus grandis. RNAcentral describes it as "long non-coding RNA (EGRA_LNC006859)". Lineage: Eukaryota; Viridiplantae; Streptophyta; Magnoliopsida; Myrtales; Myrtaceae. The record is from RNAcentral.